RNAcentral lists this transfer RNA (75 nucleotides) under compost metagenome. Its description in RNAcentral is "tRNA-Asn". It matches the Rfam family "tRNA". From Rfam's summary of the family: Transfer RNA (tRNA) molecules are approximately 80 nucleotides in length. Their secondary structure includes four short double-helical elements and three loops (D, anti-codon, and T loops). Further hydrogen bonds mediate the characteristic L-shaped molecular structure. tRNAs have two regions of fundamental functional importance: the anti-codon, which is responsible for specific mRNA codon recognition, and the 3' end, to which the tRNAs corresponding amino acid is attached (by aminoacyl-tRNA synthetases). tRNAs cope with the degeneracy of the genetic code in two manners: having more than one tRNA (with a specific anti-codon) for a particular amino acid; and 'wobble' base-pairing, i.e. permitting non-standard base-pairing at the 3rd anti-codon position. The record is from RNAcentral.
UCCAGCUAACGCACAAGGUGUGCGGACAGACUGUUAAUCUGUUUGAGUUUGGUUCGAUUCCAAAAGCUGGAGCCA